GGUUUGAUGGUGUGUGACUAGGUUUGAUGAUGAGUGUGAAAGAAUUGAUAGUUUGUGUGAGAGGUUAGUUAUAGACCGCCAUAGGCCCUGUGGUCCUCCUCAAAGUCCACGCUUGGUGAACAACUUGCAGAGCUAUAGGCAAAGAGACCUUGGGAUUGCUUGGAUUAAAAGUGUGCAGACUUGCACAACCUGCAAUGUACGCAGUUUAUCCUACUCUGGUUUUUAAUUAGCUAGUAUGCUUAUAGUGUCUGAAAUUACUGACAAGUUAAGCCAAGAAACAAAGCAUUUUGCUCACAUCUCUCCUUGGCUUCCCAUCCCUGGUUUAAACAAUGAAGAUUAAUACAGGCUUUCUGUAGCUGCUAUUCAGUCCUACCUGUGCAUCAGUUAGGAAGACCUCUCCUCCAUUUGACACAAGGGCUGAAAGAAGCAGGGCCACCUUUUCCUUUUAAUAAUUAAGCAAAAAAGUGCUGGACACUGGAGAGCAAUAAAGUGAGAGAAAGUUUUUGUUUCUUUAUACAAACAGAUAUAGAUUCUCCUGACCAAGGGAAUACAGUGUAUGCAGACGUGAACGAUGGCAAUGUAAGAAAAGACAAAAGAUCAGAGAGUAUAAAUGUGGCAUCCAUUUACGAAACAGUUGAUGAGCUCCGAGGAACAUCAGAUAAGCCUCAGACGCUUUAUGACAAGGUGACAUUUGCACGUCCUGCUCCUCUGGGCCCCUCCCCCUCCUCACCUUACCAAGUCGUGCUGUGAAGAUAUCAGCAAAGCUUUAUCUUAUUUUGUAAUGUCUGUACACAUUGUAGAUUCUUAUGUUGUCCAUAUACAUAUAUAUAUGUCUUGACUUUUUUUUUAUUCAGUACUUUUGAAAAUGAACUUGUGAGAAGAUAUUUGCACUGUUAUACUUUGGCAGACGUUGUUUGAUUGCUAUCUUUUGUAAAAAGUUCUAAGGAUGGCAUCUUAAUUCGGUUUAGACUUGCUUUUAAUGUACUAUGCAGAAAAAUGGCUUAUAGAGGUGGAUGGUGAUGACAUGUAAGAUCAGAUGUUUUGUCAUGCUAAACCUAAAACAAUAACUACUGUACUGUCAGAGAACAAGACAACAAGUAAGAUGUGGAAAUACGCAGCUGAAAUAAUCACAUUAACCAGGACAGUGAUAAUUAUACAGUAUAAAGUUAGCCUCCUCUAACGGCAGAAUGCUAACAACAUUGUGGAGAUAUAAUCAUUAUAAUCUGAUAGAAGACAAAAGUUGGCACGCUUCUUUGAAAACUGUCUUGUCAACUUGGCUACAGUUCCUCACAUGACACAUUCUGAUAUAAAACCAACCAUGUAUAUCUCACUAUUAUUUAAAUCAUUUUUCAUAUUUGACCAAUUAAAAAAGAGGUAAAAGAAAAGUGAUAAAAGAGUGUUACCUCCGUUGAUUUUUGUCUUUAAAAACAUUAUUGAAACAUAUUAUUUUGAUGAAAGCUAGCUUUCACCCUCCUAGCACUGGUGGCAUUAUGUGAUUAGGGGAGUGUUAACAAUUGGAAUGGGAUACGGCUAAACUGGGCAGAAGAUCAAGAGGUGCCCUCAGGGAUGUACUUUGGAAGCAAUGAACAUGAAAAAACAUUAAACGCAGUUAAUUCAUCAUGGAAAGAAUCAGAUGCCCAACCAACUGAGAACACAUUAUUUAAGAAUGUAUAGAAAGGACGGUUUUAUUCUUUUAAAGCUUUUUUCAAUAUAAACACACAGCUAGAGGUCCCACACUAAGCUGAAUUCAAGACGGAGUACUACGACUAAUAACAACAAUAAAUAAAAAAGAAAUAAAAUGAUAAUACUGACACAUGAUACAAAAUGAUAAAAUGAUAGACAUGAGCAAAAUAUAUGACAAUGGGUUUACAGUUUAUCAGCUUCUAUUAUUGUUCAUCAAAACACUGUAAACAUUCUGUAAGGAAGACUCCUCUAUCUAUAAUCUCGUUUUACUCAAAACACUAAAUCGAGAUCAGAGUCAUAGGCAGUCCAAAAAAACAAAAACAAAACAGAAUAGAUCACAACACAGUUUAUGAAGGUCCUUAUAAAGGGAGGUUAAUGAGCUGCAGGUCAGACAGGUUAAGGAGUCACUAGGAUGCAAAUCACUCAGGUGAUGCUGACCUGUGGUGGUGGUGGUGGGUAUUACACCUGACACAUUCAACAAAGCAUUAAAAGAUUAUUUUCUCAAAGAAAACACAAUAACGAAACAUUAAGGCAUCAUACAUAAAUCAAAUAAUCUAAAGGUCCAGUGGUUUAACGUAUCUAGAAGACAAGCGUAAAAUAUGCAAAUUAUAAAAAAUAUGCAUAAUAUUCAAGAUAUGCAU
Long non-coding RNA from Pygocentrus nattereri (red-bellied piranha), 2324 nucleotides. The record is from Ensembl. Lineage: Eukaryota; Metazoa; Chordata; Actinopteri; Characiformes; Serrasalmidae.